RNAcentral lists this ribosomal RNA (485 nucleotides) under uncultured bacterium. RNAcentral describes it as "partial 16S ribosomal RNA". It matches the Rfam family "Bacterial small subunit ribosomal RNA", at positions 28 to 523 of the family's 1533-position model. The record is from RNAcentral.
GACGAACGCUGGCGGCGUGCUUAACACAUGCAAGUCGAACGGUGAAGGUGGAGCUUGCUCCGCCGGAUCAGUGGCGAACGGGUGAGUAACACGUGGGCAACCUGCCCCUCACUUCGGGAUAACUCCGGGAAACCGGGACUAAUACCGAAUACGACCUCCUUGGGCAUCCCGGGAGGUGGAAAGUUUUUCGGUGAGGGAUGGGCCCGCGGCCUAUCAGCUUGUUGGUGAGGUAACGGCUCACCAAGGCGACGACGGGUAGCCGGCCUGAGAGGGCGACCGGCCACACUGGGACGGAGACACGGCCCAGACUCCUACGGGAGGCAGCAGUGGGGAAUAUUGCGCAAUGGGCGAAAGCCUGACGCAGCAACGCCGCGUGCGGGAUGAAGGCCUUCGGGUUGUAAGCCGCUUUCAGCAGGGAAGAAGCCGCAAGGUGACGGUACCUGCAGAAGAAGCACCGGCUAACUACGUGCCAGCAGCCGCCGCCG